RNAcentral lists this ribosomal RNA (2932 nucleotides) under Enterobacter cloacae. Its description in RNAcentral is "bacterial LSU rRNA". It matches the Rfam family "Bacterial large subunit ribosomal RNA". The record is from RNAcentral. RNAcentral also lists the same sequence under 1 other name. Lineage: Bacteria; Pseudomonadati; Pseudomonadota; Gammaproteobacteria; Enterobacterales; Enterobacteriaceae.
GGGUUGUGAGGUUAAGCGACUAAGCGUACACGGUGGAUGCCCUGGCAGUCAGAGGCGAUGAAGGACGUGCUAAUCUGCGAAAAGCGCCGGCGAGGUGAUAUGAACCUUUGACCCGGCGAUGUCCGAAUGGGGAAACCCAGUGUGUUCCGACACACUAUCGUUAACUGAAUACAUAGGUUAACGAGGCGAACCGGGGGAACUGAAACAUCUAAGUACCCCGAGGAAAAGAAAUCAACCGAGAUUCCCCCAGUAGCGGCGAGCGAACGGGGAGCAGCCCAGAGUCUGAAUCAGCUUGUGUGUUAGUGGAAGCGUCUGGAAAGUCGCACGGUACAGGGUGACAGUCCCGUACACGAAAAUGCACAGGUUGUGAACUCGAAGAGUAGGGCGGGACACGUGGUAUCCUGUCUGAAUAUGGGGGGACCAUCCUCCAAGGCUAAAUACUCCUGACUGACCGAUAGUGAACCAGUACCGUGAGGGAAAGGCGAAAAGAACCCCGGCGAGGGGAGUGAAAAAGAACCUGAAACCGUGUACGUACAAGCAGUGGGAGCACCUUCGUGGUGUGACUGCGUACCUUUUGUAUAAUGGGUCAGCGACUUAUAUUCUGUAGCAAGGUUAACCGUAUAGGGGAGCCGAAGGGAAACCGAGUCUUAACUGGGCGUUAAGUUGCAGGGUAUAGACCCGAAACCCGGUGAUCUAGCCAUGGGCAGGUUGAAGGUUGGGUAACACUAACUGGAGGACCGAACCGACUAAUGUUGAAAAAUUAGCGGAUGACUUGUGGCUGGGGGUGAAAGGCCAAUCAAACCGGGAGAUAGCUGGUUCUCCCCGAAAGCUAUUUAGGUAGCGCCUCGUGAACUCAUCUUCGGGGGUAGAGCACUGUUUCGGCUAGGGGGCCAUCCCGGCUUACCAACCCGAUGCAAACUACGAAUACCGAAGAAUGUUAUCACGGGAGACACACGGCGGGUGCUAACGUCCGUCGUGAAGAGGGAAACAACCCAGACCGCCAGCUAAGGUCCCAAAGUCAUGGUUAAGUGGGAAACGAUGUGGGAAGGCACAGACAGCCAGGAUGUUGGCUUAGAAGCAGCCAUCAUUUAAAGAAAGCGUAAUAGCUCACUGGUCGAGUCGGCCUGCGCGGAAGAUGUAACGGGGCUAAACCAUGCACCGAAGCUGCGGCAGCGACGCUUAUGCGUUGUUGGGUAGGGGAGCGUUCUGUAAGCCGUUGAAGGUGUGCUGUGAGGCAUGCUGGAGGUAUCAGAAGUGCGAAUGCUGACAUAAGUAACGAUAAAGCGGGUGAAAAGCCCGCUCGCCGGAAGACCAAGGGUUCCUGUCCAACGUUAAUCGGGGCAGGGUGAGUCGACCCCUAAGGCGAGGCCGAAAGGCGUAGUCGAUGGGAAACAGGUUAAUAUUCCUGUACUUGGUGUUACUGCGAAGGGGGGACGGAGAAGGCUAUGUUAGCCGGGCGACGGUUGUCCCGGUUUAAGCAUGUAGGCGGAGGUUCCAGGUAAAUCCGGUACCUUUUAACGCUGAGGUGUGAUGACGAGGCACUACGGUGCUGAAGUAACAAAUGCCCUGCUUCCAGGAAAAGCCUCUAAGCAUCAGGUAACAUCAAAUCGUACCCCAAACCGACACAGGUGGUCAGGUAGAGAAUACCAAGGCGCUUGAGAGAACUCGGGUGAAGGAACUAGGCAAAAUGGUGCCGUAACUUCGGGAGAAGGCACGCUGAUAUGUAGGUGAAGCCCCUGCGGGUGGAGCUGAAAUCAGUCGAAGAUACCAGCUGGCUGCAACUGUUUAUUAAAAACACAGCACUGUGCAAACACGAAAGUGGACGUAUACGGUGUGACGCCUGCCCGGUGCCGGAAGGUUAAUUGAUGGGGUUAGCGGCAACGCGAAGCUCUUGAUCGAAGCCCCGGUAAACGGCGGCCGUAACUAUAACGGUCCUAAGGUAGCGAAAUUCCUUGUCGGGUAAGUUCCGACCUGCACGAAUGGCGUAAUGAUGGCCAGGCUGUCUCCACCCGAGACUCAGUGAAAUUGAACUCGCUGUGAAGAUGCAGUGUACCCGCGGCAAGACGGAAAGACCCCGUGAACCUUUACUAUAGCUUGACACUGAACACUGGUCCUUGAUGUGUAGGAUAGGUGGGAGGCUUUGAAGUGUGGACGCCAGUCUGCAUGGAGCCGUCCUUGAAAUACCACCCUUUAAUGGCUGGUGUUCUAACGUAGACCCGUGAUCCGGGUUGCGGACAGUGUCUGGUGGGUAGUUUGACUGGGGCGGUCUCCUCCCAAAGAGUAACGGAGGAGCACGAAGGUUAGCUAAUCCUGGUCGGACAUCAGGAGGUUAGUGCAAUGGCAUAAGCUAGCUUGACUGCGAGAGUGACGGCUCGAGCAGGUGCGAAAGCAGGUCAUAGUGAUCCGGUGGUUCUGAAUGGAAGGGCCAUCGCUCAACGGAUAAAAGGUACUCCGGGGAUAACAGGCUGAUACCGCCCAAGAGUUCAUAUCGACGGCGGUGUUUGGCACCUCGAUGUCGGCUCAUCACAUCCUGGGGCUGAAGUAGGUCCCAAGGGUAUGGCUGUUCGCCAUUUAAAGUGGUACGCGAGCUGGGUUUAGAACGUCGUGAGACAGUUCGGUCCCUAUCUGCCGUGGGCGCUGGAGAAUUGAGGGGGGCUGCUCCUAGUACGAGAGGACCGGAGUGGACGCAUCACUGGUGUUCGGGUUGUCAUGCCAAUGGCACUGCCCGGUAGCUAAAUGCGGAAAAGAUAAGUGCUGAAAGCAUCUAAGCACGAAACUUGCCCCGAGAUGAGUUCUCCCUGAGACUUUAAGUCUCCUGAAGGAACGUUGAAGACGACGACGUUGAUAGGUCGGGUGUGUAAGCGCAGCGAUGCGUUGAGCUAACCGAUACUAAUGAACCGUGAGGCUUAACCUUACAACGCCGAAGGUGUUU